This is a long non-coding RNA of Homo sapiens (human), 1086 nucleotides long. Ensembl annotates it as septin 7 pseudogene 9. Its record names the gene SEPTIN7P9. NCBI's taxonomy places the organism in Eukaryota, Metazoa, Chordata, Mammalia, Primates, Hominidae. The record is from Ensembl.
GCCUAUGGGUUGCCGGGCGAGAUGUAACCGGCUGCUGAGCUGGCAGUUCUGUGUCGCUAGGCUUCGGCCCGGCCGCCGCCACACAUAAGCUGCGAUGAGGAGCUUUACGACUUCCCGGUCUUCGGGGCCGGGCGCAGCAAGGGCCAGACUCUGCGCUAGCAGGCGCUGCGCGCCAACCGGCCGGCACCUGUCGCAGAAGGUGCAACCGAUCGCACUGUCGCGCAGAAGCUCCUCAAUGGCCAGCACCAGCUGCAGCCCCGGCCGCCCACUCGCCUCACUUGAGCCUGUCUGGCAGCCUGCUAUCAAUUAUAUUGAUAGUAAAUUUGAGGACUACCUAAAUGCAGAAUCGCGAGUGAACAGAUGUCAGAUGCCUGGUAACAGGGUGCAGUGUUGUUUAUACUUCAUUGCUCCUUCAGGACAUGGACUCCCACCUUCAGGCAGGAUUGGGUAGUACAUGUUUGUAACUACCUGGCAUUGCCUUUUGUUGAGAUUUUUGGAUAAUUCAGAAAUGUUCAUUAUUUGAGAGGAACUCAGUCCCUACCCUUCUCCCACUCCAACUCCUUUCAAGACAAGAGAUCAGUAUUUGACAACUCUAACUCUGAAAAUAAGAAUAGUCUUAUUCCAGGGCCAGACCCAAAGGCUCAAUGUGAAAGUUCCUGGACUCAGAGGUGUCACGUAAGAAAGUGAGUGGAAACUUGGGAGUAUGGCUGUCCCAUGAAGAGCUCACCCUCUGGAAAACAGAAAAGGGUCCUAAUCUUGGAGGUUUGACACUCAUCAUAAUGUGGGAAUGACAGCUAGAAAAAAACGGUGAACUCCAGGAAGGCUUGAAGGCAUUGGAGCAAGGCCAGCAGCCUCUCCCUCCCACCAUCACUUCCAUGAGAACCACGUAAGAAAGACCUAGUUUCUUGUUAUCUCUAGAGACCUGGCACCUUUCACUGAAGAAUUUGCUUUCAAGCUGCUGCAAACUUUGAACAAUUGUCUGACCUACUAAAAGUAACAGAGAAAGACAGAACUCUAGAUGACUGAAGAAAUCAUGUAUUUAAGUUAUUAAAAUGUAUUAUGUAUAGGACAGUUAUCAUGAUACUA